This 425-nucleotide ribosomal RNA is filed under the name uncultured bacterium. Its description in RNAcentral is "partial 16S ribosomal RNA". It matches the Rfam family "Bacterial small subunit ribosomal RNA", at positions 354 to 796 of the family's 1533-position model. The record is from RNAcentral.
GUGGGGAAUCUUAGACAAUGGGGGAAACCCUGAUCUAGCCAUGCCGCGUGAGCGAUGAAGGCCUUAGGGUUGUAAAGCUCUUUCAGCUGGGAAGAUAAUGACGGUACCAGCAGAAGAAGCCCCGGCUAACUCCGUGCCAGCAGCCGCGGUAAUACGGAGGGGGCUAGCGUUGUUCGGAAUUACUGGGCGUAAAGCGCGCGUAGGCGGACCAGAAAGUUGGAGGUGAAAUCCCAGGGCUCAACCUUGGACCUGCCUUCAAAACUCCUGGUCUGGAGGUCGAGAGAGGUGAGUCGAAUUCCGAGUGUAGAGGUGAAAUUCGUAGAUAUUCGGAGGAACACCAGUGGCGAAGGCGGCUCACUGGCGCGAUACUGACGCUGAGGUGCGAAAGCGUGGGGAGCAAACAGGAUUAGAAACCCGAGUAGUCC